GCUCAGCUCAGACAUCAGCCCUUGGAAGGACCUAGGUGAUGUUGCCAAGCAUGGGGAAAGCCCCUGGGGGAAGGUUAGUACCCCAACGGAGUUGUAUCCCUGGGAGGACACCGGCCGCAGCUCCAGCGUCUGCAGGCUUUUGGUGGCAGGCGUGGAAUGAAGGACAAGGCACCUGCAAAACCAAAGCUCUCUUCGGGUCUAGGAAAGCAGAACUACAACUCCCAGGAAGCCCUACGGGCUCGGAGCUCCCCGCCCCGCCCCCUGCGCCCGGUAUAAAAGAGCAGCAUGGCCCUGUAGCAGGCAGAGCGCGGAGUCUGCACGGGCGCGUGGGGCGGCUGAGGCGCUGGAGCUGAGACGCUGACACCGCGGCUGGCGUCUGCUGCUUCGCUCUUCUCCCUGGGAACUCUUAUUCGCCGCGGGUGUCCACUCUUAUACGUCAUGCGGGCCUCACGGAUCUACAGACCCCGAGUGGAAAGAGAAUUUGCCUUCCUGGAUGUGGUACAGGCUUUUCCCCGGCG
This 518-nucleotide long non-coding RNA is filed under the name Fukomys damarensis (Damara mole-rat). RNAcentral describes it as "lncRNA (ENSFDAG00000028893.1)". The record is from RNAcentral. Lineage: Eukaryota; Metazoa; Chordata; Mammalia; Rodentia; Bathyergidae.